AUUUUGCUAGGAAAUACACAGCUAACCUUGCUAAUGCAUCUGUUGCGUUAUGCUGCUUGUAUUCCAUCCACUACAUUCUUGGGGAUUCGCAGAUAUUUGGACUCUUUCACCCAGUUUCAGCCUUCACAGUAGGGCACCUCUUAAAAGUCGGGCAACCCUUGAAAUUAAAAAACAGAAGAAAAAGUAAAGAUAAGUUAAUCCGAAGAAUUAUCAUCAUAAUUAUAUUCUUUUAUGCAUAACAUCAAACACAUAACAGUCUUUAAUUAACGGAAAACAAUAUAAACAGAAGGUAGGAACAUUAAAAAAAAUUGCAGUUCAAAAUAGGAAGAGAGAAUAUAGAAGCGUACCUAUGUUUUCUUUGCUCGGCUGAAUGCUGGCAAAACUCGGAAACAAAAGUAUAUAUAAGACUGGCAAU
Molecule: long non-coding RNA, 415 nt
Filed under: Coffea arabica (coffee)
Lineage: Eukaryota; Viridiplantae; Streptophyta; Magnoliopsida; Gentianales; Rubiaceae
Description: long non-coding RNA (CARA_LNC006133)
Source: RNAcentral